CUGCCUUUGGCCCACCUGCCAUCUGCAAGUCAUUUCCUGCCCGCAGCCGGAGGCUCACCUCUCGUUAACAAGAAGCCGAGGGGGCAGCCAGGCUGCAGGGCAGAUCCUGGGGGGGACCGGCAGAGCUGGGCACAGCGGAGGGGCUCGGCCAGAGGCUGGCGCUUUGUCUCCAUCGGACUUUAAUGCCACCUCACCUUGGGCAGAGGGAAUGUGGUUAAGUCAACACUGUGGACGGGCCUCUAACCAACCCUAAAGAAGCUGUGUGCGGACGCUGGCAGCCUUGGGCACUGAUAAAGGUAGAGUGUCCGUGCGCACUCUCAUCCACUUGAACUCACGGCAGGCCCAGCGGGCCAGGCCUCCGGGUCACCACACAUGUAUAAAAAGGGAAACUGAGGCUCCAGGGCUCCUGAUGAUGCUAACAGACACAGCCAGGUAAUCCCCUCUCCCGCUCCUUCCACAUUCAGGGCAAUCUCGUUAAGAUGCUUUUCCUUCCCAGAGCGUUUACCUGGGCACCACGUGUUCAUCGUGCAAGUUACGGACAACGCAGGAUCAGGCUGAGGCUGCGACGGGCCUGAAACGGGCCCCUCGCCGGCCUCCUCCCCGACCUGUCCUGUCCCGCUCCCCCACUCCCAGGCCAGCCCUGCCAGGAGCACCUCGGUGUCGCCAGCCCAUGAAGGCUGACAGUUGCCUGUCACCUUGGGGACGUGCUUUUGGGGACUCUGACCUAACACACGUGUGUUUGAGGAUUUUCCGCCGGCGUCUAGUAUAGUGAGCACAUAACUGAGUUAGAAAUGUAUCCACUGAACGAGUUCACUGAUUCAUUAAUUUACUAGACAUCUACUGAGCGCACUCUGUGGGUGGUACCCCAGCAGCGAUGGACGCACCGCGUCCGUGCACGUGCAUCUGUGUGUUUCUGUGCCUGUCCAUGGUUGUCUGUGUGCGGCUUGGUGUAUAAGUCCAUGUGUUCCCCUGUGUAUGUGCUCGAUAUGUUUCUACGUGAGGAGCAGGCGACGGGCCACACAGGUGGUCGGUGGCAGGACUGGGCCCUAAGCGCAGGUGGGCCUGACCCGCUUUCCCCAUCACCAGGCAGCUAAUACAGGUGAGCUGUGGCCUGGGUGCACCGUGGCACCAGGUGGUCCCCCAGGACAAGCCCUGCUCACAGCAGCCUCGACCCUGAAAGCCGUGUGGGCAUCCAAGGGCCCGGGGCCAGCCGGUGGGUUUUACUAAAGUACCCCCCGCCGAACAACACAACUUUGCGUGGAGCGCAGCUGCCAGGACCAGCCCCAGGUGGGAGAGCCUGGGCGAGGUGGGGCAUCCGGGCGAGCAAAGAGAGGGGCUGUUUCCAACCCUGCUUGCUGUUCACUAACACACUGGCCUUGGGCACCUGCAAGAAUCUUCUAGAGCCUCAAUCUCCUCACUUAAGAGAUGGAGACAGAGCACUUCCAACAUUUAGACAGCAUCCCAGACACCGGUGAGUUACCGUAUUUCUUCAAUACGGGAUGGGAUGCCCCCAUUGCAAGGCGCCGUGUCAACCUGCGCCACCGAGAAAGAAAACACGAACCCAUCGCAUAGGACACGGCGCUUGCUUCUCAUUUCGGGUUUUAUUUGAUUCUUACUGAAAGAGCUCCUUUUGACUUGUUUAGAUAUAGAUUUUUACUGUAUAACACUCUUGGGCAGACACAAAAAGGAAGAUACAAAUGAAAAGAACAGGUUACAGGAUGUCACAGACGUAGUCCCUUUCAGAGUCCGGCUCUCGGAAUCACUGCUGGGCUCAGAGGGCGAAUUCCCGUUCUCUCCAUGGCUAAAGCCGGAGGGUCAUCAACUGCUUCCCAAUUACCGUAUUUUAUCAAAUACAAGAGGCCGUUGCUGGAAAGCUGCAUCCUGACCUCAGAGAUGUUAAAAUGGGGAGGAGAGGGGGACAGACGUGUUUCUUAGACUUGACAAAAAAAAAAAGAGAGAGAAAGUAGCCUUGACGGCGACUCUUGCAUGAUCUGUCUCCCCCUUCAAACUCUCUGCACUACCACCCAAUUUUCUUCUCAGCUCUCUGCGCCCGGGCUACGAGUUCCGAUGCUGGCACUUUGGAUGUUUGACAGCACAGGCUGUGACAACGACGCCGGGACUGCCAGCCAUGGGACCGUGACGUGAAAUUUGCAAACCAGUUCAGAGAUGUUAAGAAUGUGAAAACGCAAAUGUGCAUCUCAGGAUGGAGGAAACAUGGCAGGUGACUCCUGAGGGGGAAGGAAGGCUGAGAGUUGAAAAUAAAAAGCGCGCUCCUCCAGCUCAGAGCUGGGGUUGAGCAAGGCUUCUUGCUCCCAGGCUGCUGGCCGAGAACCUGGGCUAGCCCAGGCUAGCCUGGGCCAAGCGAGAAUGGACCGUGGAGAUAGCUGAUCCAAAGGGUCGCUUUGAAAGAAAUAGAAACCACCGUGAAAUUGGUGGUCCAGGGUUUGCUCGCUCUCUGAUGAAAGGGGAUCACCUCCACGUGAAAUCUCUUUGUCCAGAAGUGAAGGAAGCGAGGGGAAGUGAGCCCCAGCCGGUCCCAGCAGUGGUCACAUGUCUCUCAUUGCUUGGGGACAAGAUGUAUGGUGCUGACACGGAACCAGCAGGAUAGUUUCAAGCGUUUACCAGUUACUGCCUGGUGGGGGGUCCUCAUCAGCCAUCCAGUAUGGGGGGCGGGGGCUGAGCCCUGGACAACCAGCCAGUCCCAUGCCACCCCCGUCACCAUUCCGGAGCCACCCUCUUCUUCCAGAGCCCCCGGAUGGAAACCGCUCAGGCCUGAAGAGCCUCCUGGGGUCCUGGCUUCUGUUUUCUGGAAGGCAGGCUGCUGUCUGGAAUUCUGGCCCCCAUCUCCUCCGUCAGAGGCACACAGGGCUGGGGACAAUCCAGAACACCUGAAGGGACUGCCAUGCUCUGCACAGGCCCGUACACCAUGGCCAGGGCCACUGCGAGCUCACAGCUGGGUUUCAGCCCCUAUCACCCCGCCAGGCAUCUUUGCUCAGUGCACUAACUACACGGCUGUAGGAGUAGAGAAGUAGCCCUGGUCAUCAGAUGGUAAGUCUUAGGAACAAGCAGCGUCAUCCUUGCCUUCAUUUAACAAACACUGAUCAAGCUCCUGGUGCCUGUGCCAAGCAGCCUGCCACACACAUCAGCCCAGACAGAAUGGCCAGGGGAGGCAUCACGUCACAUGCCCAGAUGGAUUGGCAAUGCCUGUCUGGAGAGCUGUGAGCCAUUGGUGAUGUCUGCCCUGGACAGGAGAAGGCGGGACAUAGCAUCACUGGUUCUAUUUCAGGAGUCUAGGGGUGGGUGCCAGGAUGAGUAACAUACAGCCCUUGCUUUCAAGGGGUAAUUCACCAGGACAAACAAAGCAAUUAAUUAGUUGCCCGGAUACAAUGUUACAAAUUCCUUUGUGGCCAGGUUUUGUUUUGGGGCCUUCAUUUACACAGAAUUUUUUCUCCCAGGUUUCUCUCCUCCUUCCCGGACCAGGACACCGCAGGCGCUGGGCCUCCCAGUCCAGGGAAGGUGUUUGGGGGUCGAAGUGGGGGAGGGGGCUGUGAGCUUCCUGGCUCAGCUUCUCAAAGUCUCAACCCCAUGAGGAAGGCAGAGCUGGAGCCCAGUGAUGGGCCAGCAGGAGAGGAAUGGGGCUUCCUCCCAUAAGAAAAGGAGCCAAAGGCCACCUCAGGGCCAUCGAGCUGCACAACCCUGGAGGUGCCAUUCCCAUCACCUUCACUGCACUCCUCAGCUAGGGCUGUUUCUCUCUAGCCAAAGAAAUGACACUCUAACUGUGAAAUUUCAGGCCAAGAAGGAAAGUAUUUUUUGUGUGUACAAAGUGGGGGGGCAGACCCUUCUCUGAGCCCUUUAAUUAAUUAAUUAGUAUUUAUUAAUUUAUUGUUUUAUUAAAUUACUAAGUAAUACCAACCCAUUUUAUUAAUCUAUUAAGUUAGUAUGAAGCAUUGUAUUUUAAUAUAAAUCUGUUGUCAAUUUACUAAUUAUUAUUUGAUUAAUAGCCACCUUUCUGCCAUCAAGCAGUCCUAGAUCUGGCCCCUUGGCCAGCUGGAGCUCCAGGAUGGUUGCAUGUCUCCUGCGUCUGGGCUGAAGGCAGUGUAUCGGUCAGGACGGGAUGCACUGGGCUUGGUAACAAAAAAAACCCCAGUCCGGUGGCUGAAGACAAUGAUUUGCUCCUUGCUCCUUCCCCACGUCCCCUGCAGGUGAGCAGGGAGGUCUGCUCAUCACAGAUGCUCAGGGACCCCAGUGAGAGGAGCAGCAAGCUGCCUUCUCGACUGGCUCCCGGCCCCAUCCCGGAGUGCCUCAUGGUGGCCUCAGUGAAGCACUCAGCCUGGCAGUGGCGCAUCUCUGCGGCUCACAGCUCUCGGGCUGGCUAUCUGGAGGAGGACUGCCAUGCAUGUGCCCCCGACAAGGGGGGUGAGAGUGCACCCCAUCCGCUGCCCACACACGGGCGCUCACGUCCACCGCAGACGCCUUCUGGUGGCGGCCAUGCCUGCAGGCAUCAGGCGGCGGGGGAGCCAGCAGUGAAGGAGGCAGACUCAGGCACGACGGUCCAGCCGGGCAGACAGACAGUGGACCAGUGUGGCAGAAUGAAUGACCUUAUCAUGUCCAUGGCGAAGGCCGCAAAGGAGGAAGGCAGGGUGCCGGGGCAUCGACAGGGCACUUGAACCUCACAGGGGUGUUUGGGAGGCUCCCUCAGGCCUGGGCUGACGUUUGGGAUGAAACCUACAGGGUGGCUGGGCGUUCUCUGAGAGGCGGGCAGGGUGGGUGCAAAUCCCUGUGGCCUUGGGGAGCGUCGUCUCUUCCAGGAACGGUGAAAAAGCCAUCGUUGCUGGAGCAGAGAGCACGGAGUGGGACAUGCAGCUGCAAAGUCAGUGGCCGGAUCCUUCACGGUCGCGUGAGCCGGGCUUAUGACCCUGGCCUGUGUCCUCAGGGCCCUAGGGAGCCAUGGAGGGUCUGCAGGCGGGAGUGGGGAUGCCGGGUUGAACGGCGCCCUCUGGUGGCCGUGCGGGGCGUGGCCUCUUCAAUGCGCCCAUCCCGGCCUCUGUUCUAAGGCUUCCUCGGGGUGCCCCGAGCUGCCGGCCUUCUGAGACUCCCCACCACGUUAAUGCUGGUGGACACAGCUCGCAGGGCCAGCCUCCCAGAUGGCAUGCCACCAAGCCACGCUCUCCAGGAGACGCCAGACGGACAGGCCAGCGCUGCGUGGAGCAGACCCAGACAGCACAGACAGCCAGCCAGCUGGGGAGCAGAGAUGGAAUGAUGGCAGCCCAAAUGCUCCGCAUUUCUGAAGGCAGAUAAACCCCAACCAGCCAGAAGGAGGGCGCCUGGCGGCUGCCGCCCAGACUCACAUGUCUGUGGCCUGUUUCUGCUCAAAACUGCAAUUGCUUAUCACAGGUCGCAGGCGAGCUAUUAGUCACGGCUCCUCAAAGCACAGCCUCCAGCCGGAGACUUCUAUCGGCGGUUUUUCUUCUUUAUUUUCUUCUUCAUUGCAGACGGGAUGAAUUGAGCCAACUGAACUUUCUGGAAAGAGAGAUGUUUUUCCUCCUUCAUUUUCAGAAAGUAAUACGCGUGCCCAGGAUGACAGUGCCAAGGGGUGGUCACGGACUCGAGUCUUCCUCUCACCCCCGAACCCCCAUUUUCCUUCCCAAUUGCCAGUAUCUUCCAUCCUUCCAGGGAGACCAGGCACGGUGGCAGCAACCACAAAUCCACCGAUUUCUACAAAAGUGUGGCUCCCGUGAAUAUGCUCUGUUCCUCACCGACUGCUGGCUUUACUCUGUAGGAGAGGGAUACUGUGAAAUAGCUCGGUCGUUUUGGGGUUCCCACAUCAGCGUCCCUUCUGCUGUCACAACCAGGCCACGAAAUGUGGCUUAUUGCUCAGCGGGGAGGAGAACAGGUACAAAGGGUAAACACUCGGCUUAGAGCAUCGAAAUAACUUUCUUGAGGUUUUUUUUAAGUCCCGGGUGAGACAGUGGUCUUGCAAGCUGGGCUUUCAAGUGUGAGUAAAGGUUCCCGUAAUUCCCAGAGCUGGAUGUUCUCUCUCGAAGAGCCACCCAUGGAGGACUGACCUCGGCGUGAAUCCAAGGGGAGGAUGCAAGACGCAGCCGAGGGAGGAGAAAAGCACGGGAGAGGAAGAGCCAGGGAGGGGGCGACGGAGAGAGAUGAAAGCCUGGCUGCAGCCCUCCGGGUAGAGAGGUGGAGACCCCAGGCAGCCCUUCCCCACUGCCUUAAGGGGCCGAGAACCUCCCCGUGGGUCCACGUGGCAAUCGGGGUCCAGGCCAGGAAACAGGCGCCCCUCUGAGCAUUUCAACGGAAGGAAUUGAAGGCAGGGAGUUGGUUCUGCAGUCCAGAGAGUGGCUGGGAAGCUUAACAGAGCUGGGGGUGACCUUGAGCUCAGCAACUGCAGGAAGCUGCCCCCAGUUCUGCAAGUGAGCGGACAGGAGGAGGACGUGCAGGACCCAGGGUCAGGGAGGAUUCCAGAACACGGAGGCCUGGCUGGAGGAAGCUGGGACCAUGGAGGAGACAAGAGGCCACCAGAGAGGUAGCCCGAAGGGGAGGAGGGAGCACCUGGCUUCUCCUCCAGUGCCUCCCAUUGGCUUCACUUGGCCGAUCCAGGCACCUGGGAAACGCAGCUGUUGGGGAUCCUGUGAUAAAGAGAAAGGGAAGGGCUGGGGGGGAUCUGAAGGCAAAGAGGCCCAGGACCCAUAGCUCAGCCCCCUUCCAACAUGGUCCUGAAUGGUGGAAUACAAACGGCGGAGGGCAGGGCCCGGGGAAGGGGCCUAAGAGAACACCCUGCUUCCUGUGGAUUGUGUGUGGCCCGUGGCUUCUGAGAAGUUCCGUGUGCCCCCAUGGGGGAUGUGGGGUCUGGCUGAGGGGCGAGGUCGGUGAGCUCAUGGGAGGAGGGGGUCACCACUCUAAGGAGCAAAGUGACCCUGAUGGAGAACGGCAGGACAGCCACGCUGGAGAGCCAUCAACAUAAUAUCUGGACUCGAAAAGGUCCACAACCCAACGAAUGUGAUGCAUGUGACAGAACACCAACGUGGCCCCAAGGGCGACAGAGCCUGAGGAGAGUGUUGAUCGAAUGGUUUUGUGAAAUGUGAGAGUAGAAAACAGCCAUAUUUCUAAGGAAAUAUCUAAUAUGAUUUUAAAUAUGUAUGUGUAAAUUUAUAAUUAAAUAUAAUUUUUUAAGAAACAG
This 7192-nucleotide long non-coding RNA is filed under the name Equus caballus (horse). RNAcentral's name for it is "lncRNA (ENSECAG00000046791.1)". The record is from RNAcentral. Lineage: Eukaryota; Metazoa; Chordata; Mammalia; Perissodactyla; Equidae.